This 253-nucleotide ribosomal RNA is filed under the name uncultured bacterium. RNAcentral's name for it is "partial 16S ribosomal RNA". It matches the Rfam family "Bacterial small subunit ribosomal RNA", at positions 524 to 776 of the family's 1533-position model. The record is from RNAcentral.
UACGAAGGGGGCUAGCGUUGCUCGGAAUCACUGGGCGUAAAGCGCACGUAGGCGGAUCGUUAAGUCAGGGGUGAAAUCCUGGAGCUCAACUCCAGAACUGCCUUUGAUACUGAGGAUCUUGAGUUCGGGAGAGGUGAGUGGAACUGCGAGUGUAGAGGUGAAAUUCGUAGAUAUCGAGAGGAACACCGGUGGCGAAGGCGGCCUUCUGGACAGUGACUGACGCUGAGACGCGAAAGCGUGGGGAGCAAACAGG